Atta colombica is the source of this 533-nucleotide long non-coding RNA. RefSeq lists it as uncharacterized. NCBI's taxonomy places the organism in Eukaryota, Metazoa, Arthropoda, Insecta, Hymenoptera, Formicidae. The record is from RefSeq and is a predicted model, not a curated record. The transcript has 3 exons.
GAAAGAUGGGAGAAAAUAGUGGCCAGCGAUGGACAAUACUUUGAAUCAUAAAUGUAUAACCAGUUUUUUACAAUAAAGCCUCGAAUUUCGGAAAAAAACGGCGUAAGCAAAGUUGUACACCUAAUAAAAAAAUGACAUAUGCGGGAAGCUUUGCUUUUCUGUUUCAAUUUGAAGAAAUCGGCUGCCGAAUCGCAUCGAAUGCUUGUGGAGGCCUAUGGCGAUAAUGCUUUAUCGGAAACAACGUACAAGAUUGGUUUCGCCGAUUCAAUGACGACAAUUUUAACCUGAGUGACAAGAAGCAUGAAAAUCGGCUCAGGAGGUUGAGGACUAUCAAUUGCAGGCUUUUUUGGACGAAGACGAUACCCAAUUGCAAAAAAUGCUUGCCGAGCAAUUGAGUGUUUCUCAAGCAGCCAUUUCCAUGCGGUUACAUGCCAUGGGGAAGGUUCAAAAGAUCGAAAAAUGGGUGCCGCAUGAACUGAACAAUAGGCAGAUGGAGCGACGCCAAAACACAUGCCAAUUUCUGCUUGCUAAAC